CAUGUUAUGAUGAUACCAACUCAGCUCACUCAGAGUCUUACAAUGCUGAGAAUUUCGUUUCCAACAUUCAUCAACCUAUCUGAGCAUG
This 88-nucleotide small nucleolar RNA is filed under the name Meyerozyma guilliermondii ATCC 6260. The record is from RNAcentral. RNAcentral also lists the same sequence under 1 other name. Lineage: Eukaryota; Fungi; Ascomycota; Pichiomycetes; Serinales; Debaryomycetaceae.